AGUGAACGCUGGCGGUAGGCCUAACACAUGCAAGUCGAACGGCAGCACAGUAAGAGCUUGCUCUUACGGGUGGCGAGUGGCGGACGGGUGAGGAAUACAUCGGAAUCUACUUUUUCGUGGGGGAUAACGUAGGGAAACUUACGCUAAUACCGCAUCCGACCUACGGGUGAAAGCAGGGGAUCUUCGGACCUUGCGCGAUUGAAUGAGCCGAUGUCGGAUUGGCUAGUUGGCGGGGUAAAGGCCAACCCAGGCGACGAUCCGCAGCUGGUCUGAGAGGAUGGUCGCCCACACUGGAGCGGGGACGCGGUCCAGACGCCUACGAGAGGCAGCAGAGUGCAAUAUUGGACAGUGGGCGCAAGCCUGAUCCAGCCAUACCGCGUGGGUGAAGAAGGCCUUCGGGUUGUAAAGCCCUUUUGUUGGGAAAGAAAAGCAGCAGCUUAAUACCCCGCUGUUCUGACGGUACCCAGAGAAUAAGCACCGGCUAACUUCGUG
RNAcentral lists this ribosomal RNA (492 nucleotides) under uncultured bacterium. RNAcentral describes it as "partial 16S ribosomal RNA". It matches the Rfam family "Bacterial small subunit ribosomal RNA", at positions 29 to 507 of the family's 1533-position model. The record is from RNAcentral.